This 18-nucleotide small nuclear RNA is filed under the name Arabidopsis thaliana (thale cress). RNAcentral's name for it is "snRNA_14004". The record is from RNAcentral. Lineage: Eukaryota; Viridiplantae; Streptophyta; Magnoliopsida; Brassicales; Brassicaceae.
UCCCAAGGCUCGCUUCGG